Molecule: ribosomal RNA, 225 nt
Filed under: uncultured Aeriscardovia sp.
Lineage: Bacteria; Bacillati; Actinomycetota; Actinomycetes; Bifidobacteriales; Bifidobacteriaceae
Description: partial 16S ribosomal RNA
Rfam family: Bacterial small subunit ribosomal RNA
Source: RNAcentral
CUCGUAGGCGGCCUGUCGCGUCUGGUGUGAAAGCCCGUGGCUUAACUGCGGGUCUGCGCUGGAUACGGGCGGGCUAGAGUGCGGUAGGGGAGAAUGGAAUUCCCGGUGUAACGGCGGAAUGUGUAGAUAUCGGGAAGAACACCAAUGGCGAAGGCAGUUCUCUGGGCCGUGACUGACGCUGAGGAGCGAAAGCGUGGGGAGCGAACAGGAUUAGAUACCCCCGUA